RNAcentral lists this ribosomal RNA (432 nucleotides) under uncultured bacterium. RNAcentral's name for it is "partial 16S ribosomal RNA". It matches the Rfam family "Bacterial small subunit ribosomal RNA", at positions 29 to 507 of the family's 1533-position model. The record is from RNAcentral.
AACGAACGCUGGCGGCAUGCCUAACACAUGCAAGUCGAACGAGACCUUCGGGUCUAGUGGCGCACGGGUUCGUAACGCGUGGGAACCUGCCCUUAGGUUCGGAAUAACUCCCCGAAAGGGGUGCUAAUACCGGAUAAUGUCUUCGGACCAAAGAUUUAUCGCCUUUGGAUGGGCCCGCGUUGGAUUAGCUAGUUGGUAGGGUAAAAGCCUACCAAGGCGACGAUCCAUAGCUGGUCUGAGAGGAUGAUCAGCCACACUGGACUGAGACACGGCCCAGAAUCCUACGGGAGGCAGCAGUGGGGAAUAUUGGACAGUGGGCGAAAGCAUGAUCCAGCAAUGCCGCGUGAGUGAUGAAGGCCUUAGGGUUGUAAAGCUCUUUUACCCGGGAUGAUAAUGACAGUACCGGGAGAAUAAGCUCCGGCUAACUCCGUG